Molecule: ribosomal RNA, 1528 nt
Filed under: Klebsiella pneumoniae
Lineage: Bacteria; Pseudomonadati; Pseudomonadota; Gammaproteobacteria; Enterobacterales; Enterobacteriaceae
Description: bacterial SSU rRNA
Rfam family: Bacterial small subunit ribosomal RNA
Source: RNAcentral
AGAGUUUGAUCAUGGCUCAGAUUGAACGCUGGCGGCAGGCCUAACACAUGCAAGUCGAGCGGUAGCACAGAGAGCUUGCUCUCGGGUGACGAGCGGCGGACGGGUGAGUAAUGUCUGGGAAACUGCCUGAUGGAGGGGGAUAACUACUGGAAACGGUAGCUAAUACCGCAUAACGUCGCAAGACCAAAGUGGGGGACCUUCGGGCCUCAUGCCAUCAGAUGUGCCCAGAUGGGAUUAGCUAGUAGGUGGGGUAACGGCUCACCUAGGCGACGAUCCCUAGCUGGUCUGAGAGGAUGACCAGCCACACUGGAACUGAGACACGGUCCAGACUCCUACGGGAGGCAGCAGUGGGGAAUAUUGCACAAUGGGCGCAAGCCUGAUGCAGCCAUGCCGCGUGUGUGAAGAAGGCCUUCGGGUUGUAAAGCACUUUCAGCGGGGAGGAAGGCGAUAAGGUUAAUAACCUUGUCGAUUGACGUUACCCGCAGAAGAAGCACCGGCUAACUCCGUGCCAGCAGCCGCGGUAAUACGGAGGGUGCAAGCGUUAAUCGGAAUUACUGGGCGUAAAGCGCACGCAGGCGGUCUGUCAAGUCGGAUGUGAAAUCCCCGGGCUCAACCUGGGAACUGCAUUCAAAACUGGCAGGCUAGAGUCUUGUAGAGGGGGGUAGAAUUCCAGGUGUAGCGGUGAAAUGCGUAGAGAUCUGGAGGAAUACCGGUGGCGAAGGCGGCCCCCUGGACAAAGACUGACGCUCAGGUGCGAAAGCGUGGGGAGCAAACAGGAUUAGAUACCCUGGUAGUCCACGCCGUAAACGAUGUCGAUUUGGAGGUUGUGCCCUUGAGGCGUGGCUUCCGGAGCUAACGCGUUAAAUCGACCGCCUGGGGAGUACGGCCGCAAGGUUAAAACUCAAAUGAAUUGACGGGGGCCCGCACAAGCGGUGGAGCAUGUGGUUUAAUUCGAUGCAACGCGAAGAACCUUACCUGGUCUUGACAUCCACAGAACUUUCCAGAGAUGGAUUGGUGCCUUCGGGAACUGUGAGACAGGUGCUGCAUGGCUGUCGUCAGCUCGUGUUGUGAAAUGUUGGGUUAAGUCCCGCAACGAGCGCAACCCUUAUCCUUUGUUGCCAGCGGUCCGGCCGGGAACUCAAAGGAGACUGCCAGUGAUAAACUGGAGGAAGGUGGGGAUGACGUCAAGUCAUCAUGGCCCUUACGACCAGGGCUACACACGUGCUACAAUGGCAUAUACAAAGAGAAGCGACCUCGCGAGAGCAAGCGGACCUCAUAAAGUAUGUCGUAGUCCGGAUUGGAGUCUGCAACUCGACUCCAUGAAGUCGGAAUCGCUAGUAAUCGUAGAUCAGAAUGCUACGGUGAAUACGUUCCCGGGCCUUGUACACACCGCCCGUCACACCAUGGGAGUGGGUUGCAAAAGAAGUAGGUAGCUUAACCUUCGGGAGGGCGCUUACCACUUUGUGAUUCAUGACUGGGGUGAAGUCGUAACAAGGUAACCGUAGGGGAACCUGCGGUUGGAUCACCU